RNAcentral lists this ribosomal RNA (274 nucleotides) under uncultured bacterium. RNAcentral's name for it is "partial 16S ribosomal RNA". It matches the Rfam family "Bacterial small subunit ribosomal RNA", at positions 523 to 796 of the family's 1533-position model. The record is from RNAcentral.
AUACGGAGGGGGCUAGCGUUGUUCGGAAUUACUGGGCGUAAAGCGCGCGUAGGCGGUCCGCGUAGUCAGGCGUGAAAGCCCCGGGCUCAACCUGGGAACUGCGUUUGAUACUGGCGGACUAGAGUCCGGGAGAGGGUAGUGGAAUUCCCAGUGUAGAGGUGAAAUUCGUAGAUAUUGGGAAGAACACCAGUGGCGAAGGCGGCUACCUGGACCGGUACUGACGCUGAGGUGCAAAAGCGUGGGGAGCAAACAGGAUUAGAUACCCCGGUAGUCC